This 429-nucleotide ribosomal RNA is filed under the name Chloroflexota bacterium. RNAcentral describes it as "Chloroflexi bacterium partial 16S ribosomal RNA". It matches the Rfam family "Bacterial small subunit ribosomal RNA", at positions 355 to 776 of the family's 1533-position model. The record is from RNAcentral. Lineage: Bacteria; Bacillati; Chloroflexota.
UGGGGAAUAUUGCACAAUGGGCGCAAGCCUGAUGCAGCCAUGCCGCGUGUGUGAAGAAGGCCUUCGGGUUGUAAAGCACUUUCAGCGGGGAGGAAGGCGUUAAGGUUAAUAACCUUGGCGAUUGACGUUACCCGCAGAAGAAGCACCGGCUAACUCCGUGCCAGCAGCCGCGGUAAUACGGAGGGUGCAAGCGUUAAUCGGAAUUACUGGGCGUAAAGCGCACGCAGGCGGUCUGUCAAGUCGGAUGUGAAAUCCCCGGGCUCAACCUGGGAACUGCAUUCGAAACUGGCAGGCUAGAGUCUUGUAGAGGGGGGUAGAAUUCCAGGUGUAGCGGUGAAAUGCGUAGAGAUCUGGAGGAAUACCGGUGGCGAAGGCGGCCCCCUGGACAAAGACUGACGCUCAGGUGCGAAAGCGGGGGGAGCAAACAGG